This 205-nucleotide microRNA precursor is filed under the name Oryza barthii. RNAcentral describes it as "MIR812 microRNA precursor family". It matches the Rfam family "MIR812 microRNA precursor family". Lineage: Eukaryota; Viridiplantae; Streptophyta; Magnoliopsida; Poales; Poaceae. The record is from Rfam by way of RNAcentral.
AAAAAGACAAACCCUAUUUUUCGUGCUCAAUGUUUGACCGUCCGUCUUAUUUGAAAAAAUUAUAAAAAAAAUUAAAAAGACAAGUCACGUAUAAAAUAUUAAUCAUGUUUUAUCAUCUAACAACAAUGGAAAUACGAAUUAUAAAAAAAUUUCAUAUAAGACGGACAGUCAAAGUUGGACAUGAAAACUCAGGGUUUGCCUUUUU